RNAcentral lists this ribosomal RNA (535 nucleotides) under Trigonopterus sp. 847 AR-2022a. RNAcentral's name for it is "partial large subunit ribosomal RNA". It matches the Rfam family "Bacterial large subunit ribosomal RNA", at positions 1860 to 2625 of the family's 2925-position model. Lineage: Eukaryota; Metazoa; Arthropoda; Insecta; Coleoptera; Curculionidae. The record is from RNAcentral.
GGCCUGUUGAUUAUAAUUUUAGGUCUAGCCUGCCCUAUGAGUAGUUAAAUGGCCGCGGUAUAUUGACCGUGCAAAGGUAGCAUAAUCAUUAGUUUUUUAAUUGAAAGCUUGUAUGAAAGGUUUGAUGAGGAAAUUUCUGUCUCUGUGGAAAUUUAUUAGAAUUUUAUUUUUAAGUGAAAAAGCUUAAAUAAUCAUAGAAGACGAGAAGACCCUAUAGAGUUUUAUAUUUUUUUAAGUUUAGAAUUUAUAGGUUUAAAAAUUUUUGGAUUUAGAAUAGUAUUUUAUUGGGGUGAUAGGAAAAUUUAAUAAACUUUUCUUUAUAAUAACAUUUGUUUAUGAGUUUAUGGUCCUAGAAUUUAGAUUAUAAGACAAAAUUACCUUAGGGAUAACAGCGUAAUCCUUUUUAGAGUUCUUAUCGAAAAAAGGGGUUGCGACCUCGAUGUUGGAUUAAAAUUUAUUGCUGGUGUAGAGGCUAGUAAAUUAGGUCUGUUCGACCUUUAAAAUUUUACAUGAUCUGAGUUUAAACCGGCGUGAG